Molecule: ribosomal RNA, 501 nt
Filed under: uncultured bacterium
Lineage: Bacteria
Description: partial 16S ribosomal RNA
Rfam family: Bacterial small subunit ribosomal RNA
Source: RNAcentral
AUUGAACGCUGGCGGCAUGCCUUACACAUGCAAGUCGAACGGCAGCACGGGUGCUUGCACCUGGUGGCGAGUGGCGAACGGGUGAGUAAUACAUCGGAACGUACCUUAUCGUGGGGGAUAACGCAGCGAAAGCUGUGCUAAUACCGCAUACGCCCUGAGGGGGAAAGGGGGGGAUGGCAAGACCUCGCGCGAUUAGAGCGGCCGAUGCCUGAUUAGCUUGUUGGUGGGUUAAAAGCCCACCAAGGCGACGAUCAGUAGCUGGUCUGAGAGGACGAUCAGCCACAGUGGGACUGAGACACGGCCCAGACUCCUACGGGAGGCAGCAGUGGGGAAUUUUGGACAAUGGGGGCAACCCUGAUCCAGCAAUGCCGCGUGAGUGAAGAAGGCCUUCGGGUUGUAAAGCUCUUUUGUCAGGGAAGAAACACCGGCUCUAACACAGUCCGGGAAUGACGGUACCUGAAGAGUAAGCACCGGCUAACUACGUGCCAGCCGCCGCGGUAA